Molecule: ribosomal RNA, 253 nt
Filed under: uncultured bacterium
Lineage: Bacteria
Description: partial 16S ribosomal RNA
Rfam family: Bacterial small subunit ribosomal RNA
Source: RNAcentral
UACGGGGGGGGUAAGCGUUGUUCGGAAUUACUGGGCGUAAAGGGCUCGUAGGCGGCCAACUAAGUCGGACGUGAAAUCCCUCAGCUUAACUGGGGAACUGCGUCCGAUACUGGAUGGCUUGGAUUUGGGAGAGGGAUGCGGAAUUCCAGGUGUAGCGGUGAAAUGCGUAGAUAUCAGGAAGAACACCCGUGGCGAAAGCGGCUCUCUGGAACGGUACUGACGCUGAGACGCGAAAGCGUGGGGAGCGAACAGG